RNAcentral lists this long non-coding RNA (259 nucleotides) under Mytilus galloprovincialis (Mediterranean mussel). Lineage: Eukaryota; Metazoa; Mollusca; Bivalvia; Mytilida; Mytilidae. The record is from RNAcentral.
UUUUACUCCAGCGACAAAGCUCUGGUUUGUUGAUCAAAAUGAUCACCCUUCUUGAUUGACAAUUCUAAUUGCACUAGGAAUGUGACCCAUACUGAGAUAAGCUGUACCUCUGUUGCUGAUAACAUAUGUAACACAAACAAUAUGUUUAUAGUAGCAGACGAUGUUUUAAUUAUAACAUUUUCUGUUUUAAAGUGUUACACAGAAAGAUAAAUCACACUACAAGUCAAAUUAUGAAUACACAAAGAAGGAUUAUGUCCAC